CUUGUCCCCCGGCCCGGCUCGCCCACCCGGGGAACAACCUCAGGAACCUCCGCGUGUGCACACGCAGGACACCGAGGCCCGGGAGGAGCGGGACCAGCAGCCUCCGCGCGCCGCUCAUCUACAUACGCCACGCCCCCUGCCGGGAUGCCCCGGAUGUCAUGUUCUUCCACGCGGGGGCGCGGGACCUACUAACCCACCCGAGACUCGCCGGUGUUUCGUGAGGGGAACGCGUGGGCGAGCGGCGACCCGUCUGGACCUGGAGUGGGAACCUAGGAAGACACGAGACCGCAGUGCCCCUCAGUUGAGGGGUGGGUCUGGACUCGGGUCUGGUCUCACCUUCCUUUCAACAAGAAGAAAAUAUCAGCCCUUUUUUGCAGUCCCCUGUCUGAACUCAUUUUCUAGUCAUGGAAAGCUCAGAAAAGACCUAUUUACCGGUUGACAUUAAGCGCUAAUGCCGCCUUAAUAGGAAAGCGUGGUUAUGUUUAUUCACGGUGUCUCUCUAAAUAAAAGUGACGAAAGUGCUUCGGAUAUAUAGCCUAUCCUAGUGAUGCUGGAAGGAAAACUCGGGAUUCUGUUGCAGAGAGAAAACCAGGUGCAGACUCGGGGAGACAGAAAACCUUCCCAACCAUCUUAAUCUAUUUGUGGAGCAGAGCUACCACCGGAGAUCUUCGGAACCACUGUUAAUGGAACAGUAAAUGCGAUGGAAACAGAAGAUUGAAAAGUAGUUGCUCAUCAGGACUUGCUCUUAUUUGCUGUCCUGAGACCACCAUGAGAAGACUGACUUAGCCUAUUGGAGGA
This is a long non-coding RNA of Bubalus bubalis (water buffalo), 798 nucleotides long. RefSeq lists it as uncharacterized. The transcript has 2 exons. The record is from RefSeq and is a predicted model, not a curated record. Lineage: Eukaryota; Metazoa; Chordata; Mammalia; Artiodactyla; Bovidae.